Molecule: long non-coding RNA, 534 nt
Organism: Sapajus apella (tufted capuchin)
Lineage: Eukaryota; Metazoa; Chordata; Mammalia; Primates; Cebidae
Exons: 2
Source: RefSeq, a predicted model, not a curated record
GAGUGCUGGGAUUACAGGCAGAGCCAUCACGCCUGGCCGCAUUUUGCUUUCUGACCUUCUACAGAGAACCUGCAAGUCUAACUUAGUUUUUCCUAAAGAAACAGAAUCAACUGGAGUGACUCCUGGGCCAAUUCCCUGAGAUUACCAUUUUCUAGAUCUUUAAUGGGGCUCAGGAAUUUGUAGUUUAAGAUCUGCUGGCUGAAUUUAUCCCAUAUACAGCUACCACCGCGCCCGGCAUCAUUCUAUUUUUUAAGCACUGGUCAGGGGCAACCUGUGCUGAAAAGUGCACUGAGUGUGGAGUCAGAAGGCCUGUGAUUAUAAUUUGCCAACAUUGUUUAUGAGCUCUGUGAACUUGGACCUUAAUAUCUUUGAGCCAUGUCUGUAAAUAGGGUGAUAAUAAAUCAUUUAUAUCGGCUGAGUGCGGUGGCUCACGCCUGUAAUCCCAGCACUUUGGGAGUCCAAGGUGGGCAGAUCACGAGGUCAGGAGUUAGAGACCAGCCUGGUCAACAUGGUGAAACCCCAUCUCUACUAAAA